RNAcentral lists this long non-coding RNA (764 nucleotides) under Struthio camelus australis. RNAcentral's name for it is "lncRNA (ENSSCUG00000000614.1)". The record is from RNAcentral. Lineage: Eukaryota; Metazoa; Chordata; Aves; Struthioniformes; Struthionidae.
UGUAUGCCAUUUCUCUCCUUCUGAAAGCCACUGUAUGAUAAAGUAAGAAGUGAAGGGCUGUAGGUGGAAGAGAACAGCAAAAGGUAAAAAUUCUGCCAGGAGCAAAACCGUUUCUUGCUUUCUGGAGGAGGCUUUCAUUUAUGUAUGAAGUUUGUAACCUCGCUCUCUGUGACAAAGUGAAGUGAUGUGGAGCAUGAAAGCUGACUCACCUCAUACAUUGAAGACUGUAGCUUACAAUGAAAAAGCCUGGGAAGCAAAGAAUAGCGUCUUCUAUCCAAGGAUCACAAAGCCUUCUGACGUCUCUGUUAUCCAAUGGCAAGGAAAUACAGUUCCCUUAGGCUCAAAAAGCAUCAUGGUUUGAUUUCCAGAAAUGCGGCACCUAAUGAUUUCCAUUAGUAUCAGUGGAAGUGUAGGUGAGUAGUAUAUUUUUCAGACACCAUUAAGACAGAUUACAGAAAUUCAAAAGAAAAAAGAAAGACACUAAGCCUCUUAUAGGCCUUGUACCCAAGGCUUCCAGAUUUAAGCUGAAAAAUACCUGAGCUGAGGUACCAAAGACAGCUUUGUUAAAGCUAGUGACUGUAGGAAGGGAUCCGACCUGUUUCAUACUACAGAUUAGUGCAGUCCCCCCAACAAGACCCCGCACUUUAGCACACAACAGAACAGCAAUUUCUCAAUUUCUAGAUUUUAAAACUAUUUCAGUAACAUUAAUCCAAAGAUAUAUACAACAUUUCUCGCAAUUUUAACUACUGCAAGGCAGAAUAAAA